GCGGGAAUAGCUCAGUUGGUAGAGCACAAGCUUCCCGAGCUUGGGGUCGCGAGUUCGAAUCUCGUUUCCCGCUCCA
Molecule: transfer RNA, 76 nt
Filed under: Litorivicinus sp.
Lineage: Bacteria; Pseudomonadati; Pseudomonadota; Gammaproteobacteria; Oceanospirillales; Litorivicinaceae
Description: tRNA-Gly
Rfam family: tRNA
About the family: Transfer RNA (tRNA) molecules are approximately 80 nucleotides in length. Their secondary structure includes four short double-helical elements and three loops (D, anti-codon, and T loops). Further hydrogen bonds mediate the characteristic L-shaped molecular structure. tRNAs have two regions of fundamental functional importance: the anti-codon, which is responsible for specific mRNA codon recognition, and the 3' end, to which the tRNAs corresponding amino acid is attached (by aminoacyl-tRNA synthetases). tRNAs cope with the degeneracy of the genetic code in two manners: having more than one tRNA (with a specific anti-codon) for a particular amino acid; and 'wobble' base-pairing, i.e. permitting non-standard base-pairing at the 3rd anti-codon position.
Source: RNAcentral